Molecule: ribosomal RNA, 253 nt
Filed under: uncultured bacterium
Lineage: Bacteria
Description: partial 16S ribosomal RNA
Rfam family: Bacterial small subunit ribosomal RNA
Source: RNAcentral
UACGUAGGGGGCAAGCGUUGUCCGGAAUUAUUGGGCGUAAAGAGCGUGUAGGCGGCCUUACAGGUCAGCUGUGAAAACUCGAGGCUCAACCUCGAGACGUCGGUUGAAACCGUAAGGCUAGAGUCCGGAAGAGGAGAGUGGAAUUCCCGGUGUAGCGGUGAAAUGCGCAGAUAUCAGGAAGAACACCCGUGGCUAAGGCGGCUCUCUAGUACGGUACUGACGCUGAGACGCGAAAGCGUGGGGAGCGAACAGG